RNAcentral lists this ribosomal RNA (322 nucleotides) under Aphis umbrella. RNAcentral's name for it is "partial 12S ribosomal RNA". The record is from RNAcentral. Lineage: Eukaryota; Metazoa; Arthropoda; Insecta; Hemiptera; Aphididae.
AUACCCUAUUAUAAAAAUUUAAAUUAAUUUACUAAAAAAUUAAUAGUUAAGUUCUUUAAAUUUAAAAAAUUUGGCGGUAUUUUAGUCUUAUUAGAGGAACCUGUUUAUUAAUUGAUAAUCCACGAUUAAUUUUACUUAUUUUAAUUAAUUCAUAUAUCGCUGUCAUGAAUAUAUUUAAAAAUUUAUUUUCUUUCUUUAUUUUUAUAAUUUAUGUUAAGUCAAGAUGUGGUUUAUAAAUAAGAAUAUAAUGGGUUACAAUAAAUUUUAUUUUUGAAUUUUAAAUGAAAAUUAAAAUGAAAUUGGAUUUAAUAGUAAAUUUAUU